RNAcentral lists this transfer RNA (76 nucleotides) under Paenibacillus polymyxa. RNAcentral's name for it is "tRNA-Val". It matches the Rfam family "tRNA". Rfam says of the family: Transfer RNA (tRNA) molecules are approximately 80 nucleotides in length. The record is from RNAcentral. Lineage: Bacteria; Bacillati; Bacillota; Bacilli; Caryophanales; Paenibacillaceae. RNAcentral also lists the same sequence under 1 other name.
GGAGGCUUAGCUCAGCUGGGAGAGCAUCUGCCUUACAAGCAGAGGGUCGGGGGUUCGAUCCCCUCCGCCGCUACCA